This 402-nucleotide ribosomal RNA is filed under the name Bacillus sp. R-26211. RNAcentral's name for it is "bacterial SSU rRNA". It matches the Rfam family "Bacterial small subunit ribosomal RNA", at positions 83 to 480 of the family's 1533-position model. The record is from RNAcentral. Lineage: Bacteria; Bacillati; Bacillota; Bacilli; Caryophanales; Bacillaceae.
UCCCUUAGKUCAGCGGCGGACGGGUGAGUAACACGUGGGUAACCUGCCUGUAAGACUGGGAUAAYUCCGGGAAACCGGGGCUAAUACCGGAUGCUUGAUUGAACCGCAUGGUUCAAUCAUAAAAGGUGGCUUUYAGCUACCACUURCAGAUGGACCCGCGGCGCAUUAGCUAGUUGGUGAGGUAACGGCUCACCAAGGCGACGAUGCGUAGCCGACCUGAGAGGGUGAUCGGCCACACUGGGACUGAGACACGGCCCAGACUCCUACGGGAGGCAGCAGUAGGGAAUCUUCCGCAAUGGACGAAAGUCUGACGGAGCAACGCCGCGUGAGUGAUGAAGGUUUUCGGAUCGUAAAACUCUGUUGUUAGGGAAGAACAAGUACCGUUCGAAUAGGGCGGCACCU